GCAUAGCUCAGUUGGUUAGGGCAUGAUAAUGCUAAGGUUGCAGGUUCAAUCCCUGUAUGGGACA
Podarcis lilfordi (Lilford's wall lizard) is the source of this 64-nucleotide non-coding RNA. NCBI's taxonomy places the organism in Eukaryota, Metazoa, Chordata, Lepidosauria, Squamata, Lacertidae. The record is from the annotation of a GenBank genome assembly.